GAGGGGGAGGUGUUGCUCGGGCCCGGACAGGAGGUUCCGUGUGGACAAUGUUGGAAGCUCAGAGCCUGGGCCAGGAUCAUGGCUCGUCCACCUCAGCACCAUCCUUGCAUUUCCUCAAUGAAUGAACCAUUGACUGAGCCUUUGACAAAAAAUCCAAAAUCCACAACGAGAUACGAGUUGGGAAAUCAGAACUACAUGGGCGGCACGGUGGUACAGCGGUAGAGUUAUUGACAUACAGCGCUUGCAGCGCCGGAGAUCCGGGUCCGAUCCUGACUACAGGUGCUGUCUGUUCGGAGUUUGUACGUUCUCUCCAUGACCGCGUGGGUUUUCUCCAAGAUUUUCGGUUUCCUCCCACACUCCAAAGACGUACAGGAACAAUCCUCUUUUCCUGCGCAGAGGAAGGGAACUCUGAGUAAGAUGGCCAAAACUCACAGCCGCAGCAACCACCUUCACUGAACAUUAUAUGCUUUAUUUCUCGACAUUCUCGACUUAUUACUGAUUAAAAGUUUUUAAAAAUUGAAAGACUUUGAAUUUAAAAUGAUCAGCUUCAACUGAUGACGUCACAACGGCUUGGCUAGUCGUAAUCAGCUUCACUGAAGAUUUCAUGAUUUGGUCUCCAUUUAUUGAGUCCUUACAAGCAUAUGGCGCAACAUAACCGUAGAAAUUAACUGUUUCAGGAUCGGGUAAAGGGUGGUCAAGAAUAAUAAAUAGCUAUUUCUCCUUCAGAUUGGGAGAGGGGAGAAGGAGAGGGGAGGAUGAAGAGGAGGGGAAAUGAGCCUGGGGGAACGGGUGAGUGGUGGAAUAUUACGUUGAAUAACGGGUUGCGUUGGGGGACCAGGCCUCCCGUGUGAGGGACCCAACGGGUCCCACUUAGUCUAGUAAAUUAAUAAUCAGUACUAGGAGGUAGCCGGACCACAAUAGUGCAAAACAAGUGUGUAGUGCAACCAAAACAAAGUCCUGAGGUCAGUAGUGGUUUGUGUUGUGUAGUGUUCAUGCGCUUGAUGGUUGCUGGGAAGAUGCUGUUUUUGAACCUAAAGUGCUGGAGUAAUUCAGCAAGUCAGGCAGCAUCUCUGGAAGACAUGGAUAGGCAAUAUUUCGAGCAUGACCCACUGGGUUACUCCAGCACUUUGAGCUCUACACAAGAUUCGAGCACCUGCAGUUCGUUGUGUUUGUUCUUGAACCUGGAGGACAUGGUUCACAUGCUCCUGUACUUCCUUGCCAAUGGUAAUAAUGAGUUGAGAACCUGGCCAGGGUGGUGUUGUUCUAUGAUGGUAUUAGCUGUCAUUGUGAGGCAACGCCUCUGGUGGAUCCCUUCAACAGUAGGGAGGUCAAUACCCAUGAUGGAUUGGCCAAUAUCUACCACAUUCUGUGGUAGCUCCCUUCAUUCCUAAGUGUCAGUAUUAUCGAACCAGGCUGUGCUGCAACCAGUCAGAAUGCUCUCUUGUACACCUGUAGACCUGUACACCUCUACUGUACACCAGUAGACGUUCGAUAGAAUUUUUGGCAACAUACCAAAUCUCCUCAAGCUUCUAAGUAAGUAGAGGCAUUGUUUAGUUUUCUGUCUGAUCUUCAGAAAUAUGCAUGCUCAGGAAUUUGACUCACUCCACUGUCGACCUGUCGAUGAAGACUGCUUUGCGGAUCUCCACUCCCUGGCAGUCAACAAGGAGCUCUUUGGUCUGUCGACCGUUGAGAGCAAGAUUGUUCUGGCGCCAUUCAAUCAGAUUAUGGAUCUCCCUCCUGUUCUCUUUGUCAAGGGAGUCGGAGCUGUGUCCUGCUGCACAGUCAUGAGUAUAGAGUGAGUAGAACAGGGGCUGAACACGCAGCCUUGAGGUGCCCCUGUGCUCAUGGUUAUCGAGGUAGAGGUUUUGUUGCCAAUUGGUACCAAUUGUGGUCUGGUGAUGAGGAAGUUGAGGAUCCAGUUGCAGAGGGAUGCGUAGAGACCCAAUUCUGUGAGUUUAGUAAUCAGUUUGGAGGAGAUGAUGGUGUUGAACGCCGAGCUGUAGUCUAUGAACAAUAACCUGAUAUGUGUUUUUAUUGUCCAAGUGUCCAGUGCAUAGUGGAGAGUCAGUGAGGUCGCAUACUCCAUUGACCUAUUGUGGCGGUUGGCCAGUUGUAGUGGGUCCAGGUUCUUGUGACGGUAGCAGUUGAUAUGCACUGUAACCAACCUCUCAUUGCACGACAUCACCACCGACAUUAGUGCCACCGGUCAGUAUUCAUUGAAGCACAUCACCUUACUCUUCUUGGGCACUGGUAUUAUUGAUGCCCUUUUAAUGCAAGUGGGGACCUCUGACAAUAGACAAUAGGUGCAGGAGUAGGCCAUUCGGCCCUUCGAGCCGGCACUGCCAUUCACUGUGAUCAUGGCUGAUCAUCCACAAUCAGUACCCCGUUCCUACCUUCUCCCCAUAUCCCGUGACUCUGCUAUCUUUAAGAGUUCUAUUUAACUCUCUCUUGAAAGCAUCCAGAGAACCGGCUUCCACUGCCUCCUGAGACAGAGAAUUCCACAGAUUCACAACUCUCUGGGUGAGAACGUUUUUCCUCAUCUCCGUUCUAAAUGGCCUACAUCUUAUUCUUAAACUGUGGUCCUGGUUCUGGACUCCUCCAACAUCGGGAACAUGUUUGCCGCCUCUAGCGUGUCCAAUCCUUUAAUAAUCAUAUAUGUUUCA
Long non-coding RNA from Leucoraja erinaceus (little skate), 2663 nucleotides. RefSeq lists it as uncharacterized. The transcript has 4 exons. Lineage: Eukaryota; Metazoa; Chordata; Chondrichthyes; Rajiformes; Rajidae. The record is from RefSeq and is a predicted model, not a curated record.